Molecule: non-coding RNA, 121 nt
Organism: Picea glauca (white spruce)
Lineage: Eukaryota; Viridiplantae; Streptophyta; Pinopsida; Pinales; Pinaceae
Source: Rfam
ACAUGCCUUCAACAUAGCAUUAAUGCACUGAAUCCGAUUAGAACUCCAUAGUUAAGCAUGCUUAGGCUAGAGUAGUACUGAUAUGGGUGACCACACGGAAACUCCUAGUGUUUUACAUGCC